This is a long non-coding RNA of Arabidopsis thaliana (thale cress), 245 nucleotides long. RefSeq annotates it as other RNA. NCBI's taxonomy places the organism in Eukaryota, Viridiplantae, Streptophyta, Magnoliopsida, Brassicales, Brassicaceae. The transcript has a single exon. The record is from RefSeq.
GAAUUUCAUCUCUCCUCUUCCACUUCAUACUUCUGGUUCACUCAAGAGCGUAGCAUGGGGAUUCAUGGAAUUGGAGAUGUUUGUUGUGCAUUAGUUUCUUGGGAGACACUCAUGGACUUCUUUUGGGCCUUUGCUCAAGUUUCUUGGUGAGGAGCCGCAAACACUUAGGAUCCUAAUCUCAGCAACAUUAGACCUCAUUCUUUCCUUACAAACUAUGCAUCUAUCUGCCUCUGCAGCCCCUAGUG